Molecule: long non-coding RNA, 723 nt
Organism: Oncorhynchus tshawytscha (Chinook salmon)
Lineage: Eukaryota; Metazoa; Chordata; Actinopteri; Salmoniformes; Salmonidae
Source: Ensembl
GUAAUAGUAGAUAGUGUAGGUAAUAGGGUCUGUAGAUAGUGUAGGUAAUAGUAGAUAGUGUAGGUAAUAGUAGAUAGUGUAGGUGAUAGUAGAUAGUGUAGGUAUUAGGGCCUGUAGAUAGUGUAGGUAAUCGUAGAUAGUGUAGGUAAUAGGGUCUGUAGAUCGUGUAGGUAAUAGGGUCUGUAGAUAGUGUAGGUAAUAGGGUCUGUAGAUAGUCUAGGUAAUAGGGUCUGUAGAUAGUGUAGGUAAUAGUAGGUAGUGGAGGUAAUAGUAGGUAGUGGAGGUAAUAGUAGAUAGUAUAGGUAAUAGUAGAUAGUGUAGGUAAUAGGGUCUGUAGAUAGUGUAGGUAAUAGUAGAUAGUGUAGGUAAUAGUAGAUAGUGUAGGUAAUAGUAGAUAGUGUAGGUAAUAGGGUCUGUAGAUAGUGUAGGUAAUUGUAGAUAGUGUAGGUAAUAGGGUCUGUAGAUAGUGUAGGUAAUAGUAGAUAGUGUAGGUAAUAGUAGAUAGUGUAGGUAACAGUAGAUAGUUUAGGUAAUAGUAGAUGGUUUAGGUAAUCGUAGAUAGUGUAGGUAAUAGGGUCUGUAGAUAGUGUAGGUAAUAGUAGAUAGUGUAGGUAAUAGUAGAUAGUAUAGAUAUUAGGGUCUGUAGUUAGUGUAGGUAAUAGUAGAUAGUUUAGGUAAUCAUAGAUAGUGCAGGUAUUAGGGUCUGUAGAUAGUGUAGGUAAU